RNAcentral lists this ribosomal RNA (447 nucleotides) under uncultured bacterium. RNAcentral's name for it is "bacterial SSU rRNA". It matches the Rfam family "Bacterial small subunit ribosomal RNA", at positions 355 to 825 of the family's 1533-position model. The record is from RNAcentral.
UCGGGAAUUUUGGGCAAUGGGCGAAAGCCUGACCCAGCAACGCCGCGUGAAGGAUGAAGUAUUUCGGUAUGCAAACUUCGAAAGAAUAGGAAGAAUAAAUGACGGUACUAUUUAUAAGGUCCGGCUAACUACGUGCCAGCAGCCGCGGUAAUACGUAGGGACCAAGCGUUGUUCGGAUUUACUGGGCGUAAAGGGCGCGUAGGCGGCAAUUCAAGUCAUCUGUGAAAUCUCCGGGCUUAACUCGGAACGGUCAGAUGAUACUGCUUUGCUAGAGUGCAGAAGGGGCAAUCGGAAUUCUUGGUGUAGCGGUGAAAUGCGUAGAUAUCAAGAGGAACACCUGAGGUGAAGACGGGUUGCUGGGCUGACACUGACGCUGAGACGCGAAAGCUAGGGUAGCAAACGGGAUUAGAUACCCGCGUAGUCCCUGAGCGGGCUGGCAAGGCGCAU